CCUACGGGUGGCUGCAGUCGAGGAUCAUUCGCAAUGGGCGAAAGCCUGACGAUGCGACGCCGCGUGGAGGAUGACGGCCUUCGGGUUGUAAACUCCUGUCAUGAGGGAAGAGGAGAGUGUCACUAACAUUGACGCGAUUUGACGGUACCUCAAGAGGAAGCCACGGCUAACUCUGUGCCAGCAGCCGCGGUAAUACAGAGGUGGCGAGCGUUGUUCGGAUUUACUGGGCGUAAAGGGCGCGUAGGCGGCCGCGUGUGUGGGGUGUGAAAUCUCCGGGCUCAACCCGGAAAGUGCGCCCCAAACUGCGCGGCUGGAGUGCGGGAGGGGAGAUCGGAAUGCAGGGUGUAGCGGUGAAAUGCGUUGAUAUCCUGCAGAACACCGGUGGCGAAGGCGGAUCUCUGGAACGCAACUGACGCUGAGGCGCGAAAGUCGGGGGAGCAAACAGGAUUAGAUACCCCGGUAGUC
Molecule: ribosomal RNA, 465 nt
Filed under: uncultured Verrucomicrobiota bacterium
Lineage: Bacteria; Pseudomonadati; Verrucomicrobiota
Description: bacterial SSU rRNA
Rfam family: Bacterial small subunit ribosomal RNA
Source: RNAcentral